CCUACGGGGGACAGCAGUGGGGAAUAUUGCGCAAUGGGCGAAAGCCUGACGCAGCGACGCCGCGUGAGGGAUGAAGGUCUUCGGAUCGUAAACCUCUGUCAGCAGGGAAGAACGGUCACUGUGCUAAUCAGCAGUGAAUUGACGGUACCUGCAAAGGAAGCACCGGCUAACUCCGUGCCAGCAGCCGCGGUAAUACGGAGGGUGCGAGCGUUAAUCGGAAUUACUGGGCGUAAAGCGCUCGUAGGCGGUAUGUCAAGUCAAGGGUGAAAUCCCCGCGCUCAACGUGGGAAGUGCCUUUGAAACUGGCAAACUGGAGUGUGUGAGAGGAUAGUGGAAUUCCAGGUGUAGGAGUGAAAGCCGUAGAUAUCUGGAGGAACAUCAGUGGCGAAGGCGACUAUCUGGCACAUAACUGACGCUGAGGAGCGAAAGCGUGGGUAGCAAACAGGAUUAGAUACCCCGGUAGUC
RNAcentral lists this ribosomal RNA (465 nucleotides) under uncultured bacterium. Its description in RNAcentral is "partial 16S ribosomal RNA". It matches the Rfam family "Bacterial small subunit ribosomal RNA", at positions 338 to 795 of the family's 1533-position model. The record is from RNAcentral.